This is a long non-coding RNA of Colossoma macropomum (tambaqui), 273 nucleotides long. RefSeq lists it as uncharacterized. The transcript has 3 exons. NCBI's taxonomy places the organism in Eukaryota, Metazoa, Chordata, Actinopteri, Characiformes, Serrasalmidae. The record is from RefSeq and is a predicted model, not a curated record.
CACAGAGGAAGGAUGGACAGAAGCACCUGUGGAUUUUUUCAGAUCUGAAGUUGCUUUAAAACACAUGGAAAACGACAGGCAGCGAAGUACCCAGCCCACGGCACUCCAUCAGAUUCAGGCGCAUCACGUUGCUGAGAGCUGCCAUGAACAUGCAUAGAUAUGCUACGCAGAACUUGGCUCUUAUUCUGCAGUGCUCCUCUCUCCUCCUCCAGACGCAACACCUUGUCCUUCAGACGUGACUUCUCUGAUUCCAGGUCCCGGAUGGCCGCCUCA